This 253-nucleotide ribosomal RNA is filed under the name uncultured bacterium. RNAcentral's name for it is "partial 16S ribosomal RNA". It matches the Rfam family "Bacterial small subunit ribosomal RNA", at positions 524 to 776 of the family's 1533-position model. The record is from RNAcentral.
UACGUAGGCAGCAAGCGUUGUUCGGAAUUACUGGGCGUAAAGAGUGUGUAGGCGGUGCUCUAAGUUCGGUGUGAAAUCUCCCGGCUUAACUGGGAGGGUGCGCCGAAAACUGGAGUGCUCGAGCGUGGGAGAGGAAAGCGGAAUUCCUGGUGUAGCGGUGAAAUGCGUAGAUAUCAGGAGGAACACCUGCGGUGUAGACGGCUUUCUGGACCAUUGCUGACGCUGAGACACGAAAGCGUGGGGAGCAAACAGG